This 644-nucleotide long non-coding RNA is filed under the name Musa acuminata (dwarf banana). RNAcentral's name for it is "long non-coding RNA (MACU_LNC002995)". The record is from RNAcentral. Lineage: Eukaryota; Viridiplantae; Streptophyta; Magnoliopsida; Zingiberales; Musaceae.
UCUUUUCCUAGUUGCAGUUCAAACCAUAAUCACUUCUUGUUCCAAAGCCUCUUGUAGCUGCAUAUCUGACAUGCCAAACCUACCUUUCUGCAAAACCAUGUGAGUGACAAUUAGAGAUCAGGGCUAAGAUGAAUCUAUGCUUUUCAGCAAACCUGUUUAGAUUUAUCUUUUCUACUUGCAGUUAAAAUCACAAUCACUUCUUGAUCCAAAUCCUCUUGUAGCUGCAGACCUUACAUGCCAAACCUACCUUUCUGCAAAACCAUAUUGAUGGCAAUAAGAGGUAAGGUCUAGAUGAAUCUAAGCUUUUCGGCAAACCUGUUUAGAUUUAUCUUUUCUACUUGCAGUUAAAAUCACAAUCACUUGUUCCAAAUCAUUCUGGAGCUGCAAAUCUGACAUGCCAAACCUACCUUUCUGCAAAACCAUAAUAAUGUCAGGCUUAACAAACUGUGAAGAAAUUAACAAAUUUGAUGGAACAAUAUCAGGAUUGUAGUAUUUCAGUCAUGUAAGAUAUGGUGUCGCCAAGGGUUUUUUUUUUUUUUGAAAAGAGGUUGUGAACAAUAUGCAAAGCGGCAGAAAGAAACAACACAAUUUAUAGGAACAGGAUUUUUUUUUUACAAGGAAAAUUGUUUGCCAGACAACAGCAG